UGAGGAAUAUUGCACAAUGGGCGCAAGCCUGAUGCAGCAACGCCGCGUGAACGAUGAAGGUCUUCGGAUCGUAAAGCUCUGUUGCAGGGGAAGAUAAUGACGGUAACCGGAGAAGAAGCCCCGGCUAACUUCGUGCCAGCAGCCGCGGUAAUACGAAGGGGGCUAGCGUUGUUCGGAUUUACUGGGCGUAAAGCGCACGUAGGCGGACUUUUAAGUCAGGGGUGAAAUCCCGGGGCUCAACCCCGGAACUGCCUUUGGUACUGGAAGUCGUGAGUAUGGUAGAGGUGAGUGGAAUUCCGGGUGUAGAGGUGAAAUUCGUAGAUAUUCGGAGGAACACCAGUGGCGAAGGCGGCUCACUGGACCAUUACUGACGCUGAGGUGCGAAAGCGUGGGGAGCAAACAGG
This 404-nucleotide ribosomal RNA is filed under the name Verrucomicrobiota bacterium. Its description in RNAcentral is "Verrucomicrobia bacterium partial 16S ribosomal RNA". It matches the Rfam family "Bacterial small subunit ribosomal RNA", at positions 355 to 776 of the family's 1533-position model. Lineage: Bacteria; Pseudomonadati; Verrucomicrobiota. The record is from RNAcentral.